RNAcentral lists this unclassified non-coding RNA (238 nucleotides) under Hevea brasiliensis (rubber tree). Lineage: Eukaryota; Viridiplantae; Streptophyta; Magnoliopsida; Malpighiales; Euphorbiaceae. The record is from RNAcentral.
AUAAUAUUCAUUUAUUGAUGAUCAUAAUUACUUAAAAGCGUAAAUUCAAUUUGGAGAAAACAGAAACAUGAUCUCAAACAAAGCAACUUCCACCCUUAGCCUAAAAUACAGGGGACAGAUUCAUGUCAUGAUUAUUCCAUGAUAUUACAAGCUCCACCAAUUUGCAGUUAAGCUUUUUCCAUCCUUGUUACUUCUCAAAAGCAUCCACCAGAAUUUGUAAUUGUUGCGCUUCAGUUCA